AAGUGAUCCGCCAGCCUUGGCCUCCAAAAGGGCUGGGAUUACAGGCACGAGCCACCUUGCCUGGCUCCAAUUUCUUGAUAAUUUGUUUCAUUACCCUAGGCAAUUGUCAGGUAGAUAGCCCUAAAUUUGUAUACCGAAGGAACAACUCUCAGGUGAAAAUCAGCAAAAUUUACUUCUCAAAGGAAAGAGAGAGAGAGAAUCUGUUGUGUUAACAGGGUGAUUAAAAAAUGGAUACCAAGUCAAACAUAAAAUUACAGAAAUCUACCACAGGAUUGUAUAAAGAGACCAAUCACACUUAGAUAGUUUUAAACGUAGUCUCUGUUUUAACUGGAUCUCUGAGCUCUGAGCACAGCCCACAUUCAAUCCUGGGUCUCCAAAAAGGAGAGAGAAAUCAUGGGACUAGGCCACAUAAUGCUUUUAUGGUGUUACUUUGUUACAAAGAUGUUGCUUGAGUGUCUAAGCACCCUUUCUUAUUCUAAACUCCCAAGAGUAGCCCCUGUAAUAAUAACUAUUUCAGUUAAAAAAAAUCAGAAAACAAAAUAUAGAAGCAAGGAGUUUAAGAUCUGAGAGGAACUUGUUUAUACUCUUAGGGUUCCAUAAGGAAAAACAGAGGUUUUGCCCCCAGAAGGAGUCUGGCAUCUUCUCUGUUUUCUUUAAGGAAUCCCAGCUCCAAUUUCUUGAUAAUUUGUCUCAUUACCAUUGUUAAAAUUAUUUCCAGUGCCUCAUGCAGCAGAGGGUGGGAAGAGAAAGGAGAGACAGGCAGAAGUAAAUAGAAAAAGCAGAAUUCAGUUGACUGAGAAGAAAAAAACUUUUUUACAAAAACACGUUCCUAGAAGACAAAAAAACAUAAAGUCCUUUUACAUACACACACACACACACACACACACACACACACACGGAUUGCGGAUACUAUCUUUUAAUUAAGCUGCCUUUUAACUGUUGAGGUCUUAAAAAAUCCUUUUAAAUAUUAUUACCAUAUUUUAGCUGGGAAAAGCUGCUGAUAUUUCAAAGGUAAAAUAAAUCUCAAACCAGAAAGGACUUGAUUCAUAACCAACCAACCCAGGCUGUCAUGCUAAAAAAAAGGGCAGAAUCUUUGCUGCUGAACUACUGCAUAGGGUGACUACCAUUGCUCCUUUAGUUUAGUUUGGCUAGCAGAAGGUGGUCUUGCCAUGUAAAUAAAGCCUCUCAGGUAAUCAAAAUGUUUCUUUUUUUACUUUUGCUGGUGUUUUUUUCUUUUCUUUUUUUUUUCAGCUACAGGAAUUUAGCCAAUUCAGAGGAAAUCUUCCCCAUAAUUAUGGAACUUUCUUACAGAUUUUACCAAGUCUGGUCAACCCAAUAAGAAAAAGACUGAAAUAACAACAACAACUUCAACAAAUAAAAAAAAACAGUUAAGCUAAAUAAACAGAUGAUUGCAGAAUUUAUGUGAUUACUGGGUACUCUAAUGGUAAGGAGAAAUUAAGACCAGCUAGUUGUUAAUCUUAACUUUUAGUCAUUAAGGAGAAUUUCCAAGACAAAACUGCAAUCCAGCUGCUUACCUAGGAAUACGGCUUAGGCUGAAAACUUCUAUCGUCUUAGAAAUGGGAAUAAACCUCACACUCACCGUCCCUGUUGGAAGCAAGCUGAAACUCCAAAAAAAAAGUUGCCUGUUGUCCAUCAUCAUGGUGAAGCGGCGUCGUUGUCUGGGAACCCAAUUGGAGACGUUGGAUAUUUUAUCAAGUCUUUGACUGGAAUGACAUUUUUUCAGAAAUAACCAGACUGCUUUGAGGAAUUAAAAUUGACUUUAAGGGCUGAGAAAAACCCCUUGGAAAAACUGGCAUGGUACCCUCUGCAUGCAAUUCCUUUACAAAGCUCCUGACCUGUGUUCUGAAGGCUGGGAAGUCCAAGAUUAAGGCGUCAACAGGUCUUGUGUCUGCUGAGGGCUGUCUCCCUGAUUUGCAGAUGUCUGCUUUCUUGCUGUGUCCUCACAUGGGAAAAAGAGAGAGAAUUUGCUGGUAUUCCUUUUUAUAAGGACACUAACCCCAUUCAUGAGGGUCCCACCCUCAUGACCUCGCCUAAACCUAUAACCUCCAAGGACUCCAUUUCCAAAUACCAGCAACCACAUGUGUGAGCUUAGAAGAGGAUCCUUCCCCAGGUGAGCCUUGAGAUGACCCUGGCCUGUGACUUGAUGGCAGCUUUUGAGAGACUGAGCCAGAGGCCUCCAGUCUCCCUCUCCCUCUCUUUCCACGGUCUCCCUCUGAU
RNAcentral lists this long non-coding RNA (2238 nucleotides) under Homo sapiens (human). RNAcentral's name for it is "HSALNT0372141". The record is from RNAcentral. Lineage: Eukaryota; Metazoa; Chordata; Mammalia; Primates; Hominidae.